RNAcentral lists this ribosomal RNA (810 nucleotides) under uncultured Verrucomicrobiota bacterium. RNAcentral describes it as "bacterial SSU rRNA". It matches the Rfam family "Bacterial small subunit ribosomal RNA", at positions 58 to 847 of the family's 1533-position model. Lineage: Bacteria; Pseudomonadati; Verrucomicrobiota. The record is from RNAcentral.
CAAGUCGGACGGGACAUUUUUCGUAGCAAUACGAAGAAUGUUCAGUGGCGUAAGGGUGCGUAACACGUGGGCAAUCUGCCGAGAAGUGGGGGAUAGCUCGCCGAAAGGCGAAUUAAUACCGCAUGUGACUAGAGGAGACAUCUUCUUGACGUCAAAGUCGGGGCAACCUGACGCUUCUUGAUGAGCCCGCGGCCUAUCAGCUAGUUGGUGAGGUAACGGCUCACCAAGGCGAUGACGGGUAGCUGGUCUGAGAGGACGACCAGCCACACUGGAACUGAGACACGGUCCAGACACCUACGGGUGGCAGCAGUCGAGAAUUUUUCUCAAUGGGGGAAACCCUGAAGGAGCGACGCCGCGUGGAGGAUGAAGGUCUUCGGAUUGUAAACUCCUGUCAUUAGGGAACAAUUGUCGCCGAGUAACUAUCGGCGGCUUGAUAGUACCUGAAGAGGAAGAGACGGCUAACUCUGUGCCAGCAGCCGCGGUAAUACAGAGGUCUCAAGCGUUGUUCGGAUUCAUUGGGCGUAAAGGGUGCGUAGGUGGUGGGGUAAGUCGGAUGUGAAAUCCCGGGGCUCAACCCCGGAACUGCAUUCGAUACUGCCUUGCUCGAGUACUGGAGAGGAGACUGGAAUUUACGGUGUAGCAGUGAAAUGCGUAGAUAUCGUAAGGAAGACCAGUGGCGAAGGCGAGUCUCUGGACAGUUACUGACACUGAGGCACGAAGGCCAGGGGAGCAAACGGGAUUAGAUACCCCGGUAGUCCUGGCAGUAAACGGUGCGCGUUUGGUGUGGGAGGAUUCGACCCCUUCCGUGCC